Equus caballus (horse) is the source of this 752-nucleotide non-coding RNA. NCBI's taxonomy places the organism in Eukaryota, Metazoa, Chordata, Mammalia, Perissodactyla, Equidae. The record is from RefSeq and is a predicted model, not a curated record.
UUUACUGUUCCCUUGUUAAUCUGUCUUUUGUCAGUGUAAUUUACGGGGCCCAGCCACUGAACCUAAGCUGGCUAAAGGAGAAAAAGACAAGUUUUUCCUCUCCUCCGGCAGCAACGUGAAACCUUCCAACAAAAUUCAAUCUUCCCUUCAAAAGCACUGUUUCCGUGCUUAUCAAACACCUGUGCUCCUGAGAAUCAUGUGACAGUGACCAGAGAGAGAGAGAAGAUGGAAGAGACUUGAGAGCAAAGAAGGGGAGAGCAGGCUGGCUGCUUUUACUGCUCCAAUCUUGUUCCUUCAACGUCCAGUUACACAGGCAACAAAUAUUUACUGUGCAUCUACUUUGUGCCAGUUAUGAAGCUAGGUGCAGCUCUUUACUCUUAGCCUCAGCUGGCCACAGAUGGAAAUAUUUUCUGAAAAUGGAAUUUCAUAACUAUCGAUUCCUUAUAGCAUUUUAAAAAUAUUUUAGGCUACGAACCAGUUUUGUUUUAUUAAGAAAUUUCCAACUAUGUUUUCCUUGGGCAGUUAAAAGAUAGCCAACAUAACCAUUUAUCAAAGGGAACUUAUUUAAUUGCCUUAAGAGAACAUAGUUCAGGGUGGUCAUCAUUGGUACGUGAUAUCUUUCUGGUCCUUCAUUUAUACAAUUUACAUUGUUUAUUAUUCAUACAAUGUUGAUUGGUACAUUGAUUAAUGGAAACAUCUGUAUUACAACAAGAGUAGAGAAAGUAGCAUGCAAAUAAAAUUCUUCUAUCAUA